GACGAACGCUGGCGGCGUGCUUAACACAUGCAAGUCGAACGGUGAAGCGCCUUCCUUUUUGGUGGGUGUGGAUGAGUGGCGAACGGGUGAGUAACACGUGAGUAACCUGCCCCCUUCUUCUGGAUAACCGCAUGAAAGUGUGGCUAAUACGGGAUAUUCUGGGUCUGUCGCAUGAUGGGUCUGGGAAAGAUAUUGUUUCGGUGGGGGAUGGGCUCGCGGCCUAUCAGCUUGUUGGUGGGGUGAUGGCCUACCAAGGCGGUGACGGGUAGCCGGCCUGAGAGGGUGGACGGUCACACGGGGACUGAGACACGGCCCAGACUCCUACGGGAGGCAGCAGGGGGGAAUAUUGCACAAUGGGCGCAAGCCUGAUGCAGCGACGCCGCGUGAGGGAUGGAGGCCUUCGGGUUGUGAACCUCUUUCGCCAGUGAAGCAGGCCUGCCUCGUUUGUGGGUGGGUUGACGGUAGCUGGAUAAGAAGCGCCGGCUAACUACGUG
This 494-nucleotide ribosomal RNA is filed under the name uncultured bacterium. Its description in RNAcentral is "partial 16S ribosomal RNA". It matches the Rfam family "Bacterial small subunit ribosomal RNA", at positions 28 to 507 of the family's 1533-position model. The record is from RNAcentral.